AUCUUUCUCGCCAUAGGUAGAGCAUGAGACUCUUAAUCUCAGGGUUGUGGGUUCAAGCCCCACGUUGGGCA
This 71-nucleotide transfer RNA is filed under the name Podarcis lilfordi (Lilford's wall lizard). It matches the Rfam family "tRNA". From Rfam's summary of the family: Transfer RNA (tRNA) molecules are approximately 80 nucleotides in length. Their secondary structure includes four short double-helical elements and three loops (D, anti-codon, and T loops). Lineage: Eukaryota; Metazoa; Chordata; Lepidosauria; Squamata; Lacertidae. The record is from Rfam by way of RNAcentral.